UGCCCUAAAACAAAACCCACUUCACAUCUCUCAUCUGGAUACCCGUUCUCCAUGGCCCUCACCCGUUUGGCUCUAAGGAAUUUGCAGCAAAGGGCUGCCUUUGCUUCCUCUCCUGUUGAUACUUUAUUUCCCAAACAAACUGCAGCCCUGAUUAGAAGAUUGAGUGAUCAGAGCUCAGAAGGAAAUUCCAAAGAGAUCGCCGUUAAGAAUGAAGAGAACACCAAAAUAGCCCCGAAAAGGGAAGGCAAGAAAUGGGUACCAUGGAGAAAGAACGAGGGGGAGUUUCAUCUAGGAAACUCACUGAUGCAAGCAGCAGAGCAUAUAAACAGAGUGCUGAAAAGCUUGAACUUGAGUCGUCCAUGGUGGGUCUCCGGUGGCCGUGUGAAAGAGCAAGAAGAUUGGUACAAACUGCGAGUGGAGAUGCCUGGGAUCG
This 433-nucleotide long non-coding RNA is filed under the name Cucumis sativus (cucumber). RNAcentral's name for it is "long non-coding RNA (CSAT_LNC001368)". Lineage: Eukaryota; Viridiplantae; Streptophyta; Magnoliopsida; Cucurbitales; Cucurbitaceae. The record is from RNAcentral.